Delphinapterus leucas (beluga whale) is the source of this 335-nucleotide non-coding RNA. The record is from RefSeq and is a predicted model, not a curated record. NCBI's taxonomy places the organism in Eukaryota, Metazoa, Chordata, Mammalia, Artiodactyla, Monodontidae.
GCUCCCACUUCUCCGGGGCGAUCGCCGCCUGGGAGGCGCAGCAGGGCAAGUCCUGGGCAGCGGCUCUUCCAGAGCUUUCUGCGGGCUCUGCGUCACCCUCCGGAGUGAGCCGCCGCCGCGGGGGGGCCGCAGGUCAUCAAACAUUUGUUGUGCAUCUACGCCCUAGGGCGUGCGAGGUACUCUGGACAGAGAUGACAGUCCUUUCUGGAGGAACUCAGAGUCUGGUAGAGAAGAUGGAUCACACAUGUACCUGUGUGAGAAGCACCCUCUGAAGGGAGCACACCAGGGCAUGGGGAGUCCAGCAAGCUGCACCGCCGCCAUCCCAGCCACCAUCA